Molecule: long non-coding RNA, 1920 nt
Filed under: Chlamydomonas reinhardtii
Lineage: Eukaryota; Viridiplantae; Chlorophyta; Chlorophyceae; Chlamydomonadales; Chlamydomonadaceae
Description: long non-coding RNA (CREI_LNC000746)
Source: RNAcentral
GCGAGUCGAUGGCGGUGGCGGUGUACAGGUUGGGGUCGAUGGUCACCGCUGUGGCCUUGGCCACAAACGCCAGCGAGCCGGCCUUGAGCGGGUUGGUGGUGGCGGCCAGCGAGUUGGCGGCCGCAAUGUUGACCGCGUCAGUGCCGGCGUAGGGCGUGGCCUUGUCCAGGUUCACGGUCAGCGUGGUGCCGGCCACGGAGCAGGGCGAGGUGGCGGCCAGGGUCUUGGCGGGGGUGAAGGUGACAAUCUUGUUGCAGUCGUCCACGGUGGCCGGGGUGGUGGUGAUGGUGCCGGUGGCGGACAGAGUCACCUUGACCUGGGUGGGCGAGGCGGCGGCAGCCGACACAAUCGAAGGGCCAAUGGUGACGACCGCGGCCGAGGCAGCUGCGUUCAGUGUCGCCACAGUGGUGUACUUGGGCGAGGUGUUGGCCACGGCGGCGGCGGUGGCUGCACCGCGCAGGUUGGCGCUGUUGCCAAAGCCGACGUCGAUGCGGUCGCCGGUCGCAUACGAGCUCACGGUUGUGUCGAGGGUCAGGGUGAUUGUGGUGCCGCUGCCGCUGAGGACGCAGGGCGCAACGCCAGCGCCAGGGGCGACCAAGGUCCGCGCGAUGGUGGAGCCGGAGGGGAUGACGCGGAUGACGCUGUCACAGUUGUCCUUGGUGGGCGUGGCGCCGUCGGCAGCAAGAAUCUCAGCGGGGGAGGCAGCCAGGUCGUACAUCUUGACGGGGAAGGGCAGGGUCACCACGAUGGUGUUGGCAGCGGUGGAAGUGGCCGACACGAAGAAGCUGAGCGUGACGGUCACGGCGCUGGCCGAGGGCGUGUACAGGGGCCCAGACAGCUCGUAGCCGGGGCCAACGUCGGACUUCCAGGCGCGCAGCAGGGUCUGGCCCGAUGCAAUGUUGACAGUGUCGCCUGUAAGGUUCACAAGAGGACACUUGCUCAGCACCGGUGCAACGGAGGGAGGCAUGGAUGGCGACUAGAGGCUACACCGACUUCCCAAGCAAUCACUCACCCGGAGCGAAGUCGGCGGCCAGCGUCAGGGUGAGGGUGAGGAAGUCGGACGAGAUGGCGCACGAGGCCACGGACUUGCCGGCAGGCAGCGCCACAAGGCUUGCGCACUGCUGCUGCGUGGGCGCCGAGAUGACGGUGCCGGUGCUGUCGAUCAGCUGGCUGGUCACAGGCAGCGUCACGGCGAUGGUACGGGCACCGGUGGCGGAGGCAGAAACAAUGCGUGGCUCAAUGACCACGGGCAUGCGGCGAGGCACGUACAGCGCCUGGACAUUGGUGCCCACACGCAGCGGCUUGGCAGCGGCAGUGGCGCCAUUCAGACCGGCGUUCUUGUCCCACACGUCGACGGCGUCGCCGGCAGCGUAAGAGGCGCCCAGCUUGAUGGUCAGGAGGGUGUCGCCGGCGCUGGUGGUUCCCAGUAGGCAGGCGGCGCCGCUGAACAGCGUGCGGCAGUUGGAGGGCGUGGCGCAGGCCGAGACGCCGGCGCUGUUGGUCUUGCCGGCCAAGAGCACCGUCAGCACGUCGGCGCACUCUACGUCCGUGAGCGAGGCCACCUUGGUGGCGCUGUUGGUAGCGCCGCUGUAGAAGCUGCUAGUGGCGGGCAGCACCACCGCAAUGGUGGUGCUGUCCACGGUGUAGGCGGACACGAGGGCGGGCGACACGGUGGCGGCAGCGGCCAGGGCGGCGUAGUCUGUCAGCGUGGCUGCGGCGGUGGCGUACUUGAGCAGGUUGGGGGCGCCUGCAAUGUUGACGGCGUCCCCGGCGGCGAACUGGUCCACGGUGGCGGUGACCAGCUGCGUUUCGGCGUCAUAGACGCAGCUGCUGAUGGUGCGCGUUGGUGUGAAGGCCAGGAAGUUGGCGCAGGUGUUGCCGGUGGUGAUGGUGCUGGGCGCCGGCAGCUUGAUCUCCACC